UGUAACUGUAGGAUGCACCAAGCACAGAAGGGAGCAGCCAGUGCCAGGCAGCGGCCAGGAGAGCCCUGGGGACUUUGUCGGGAGGCACUGGAGGACCUGGCAUCUGUGAGCAGAGCUGACGUCAUAGGACAGUCUGCUGAGCGGGCAGGGAGAGCCCCAGCUCCUGAGAUGGCUUGAGAAGAUGCUACUGUCAAUUCCAGGCCAGCGAUGCCCAAAGCUAAGUGCUGGAAUUAGGUGCUCACCUGCUUCCACAUGAAGCAAGACUUCCAUCCUUUGUUAAGAAGCCCCGAAUCUCUGAGAGUCCUUGGAUCCUGGUACGUAGCCAUUUUUCAAAUUCCCUCCUGAAAGCACCUGGCUGAGCUGCAGGGAGAUUCAGGUGGCAGGAAAUAAACAUCAAGAUAUCAAGGAUCAGCCUAAUGAUGGAUUUCUGUCGCAGUGCCCCCGGACCAUCAUGUGCCAAUGAUCCCACGUGACUGGAUAUGGCGGGCAGCGUGCAUUGGCCUCCUCCAGGGUUGGGCACAGAGAGCCCCACCCCACGCCAAAAGGAAUGUUGGGGUGAGGCUGGGGUGGGGGUGGGAAGCUACUCACUGUCCCAGGCCCAGAGCCACUCACAGUGAAAACCGAGCUUAGUUGAUCAACAAAAAUACAUGUGAAGCAGCCGAGAGGAUGUAUUGGUUUCUUUUUCUGGUAAUUUCAACAAAACAUAGUUCUUUACCACAGUCCCACAGUUUUCUGCCGGUCCCUUUGUUAUACCUCUUGUCAUGACCUACACUAACUUUUCUCUUUGACUUGGACAGUUAUCCGGUGGGCUUAAUUGUCUCUGCCAAGAACUAUGGUCAAUCACUUGCUUGAAAACCACUUACUGAUUAUUCUGUGACAUCUUUGAG
Non-coding RNA from Ictidomys tridecemlineatus (thirteen-lined ground squirrel), 887 nucleotides. NCBI's taxonomy places the organism in Eukaryota, Metazoa, Chordata, Mammalia, Rodentia, Sciuridae. The record is from RefSeq and is a predicted model, not a curated record.